This 1208-nucleotide ribosomal RNA is filed under the name metagenome. RNAcentral describes it as "SSU rRNA". It matches the Rfam family "Eukaryotic small subunit ribosomal RNA", at positions 638 to 1772 of the family's 1831-position model. The record is from RNAcentral.
AUUCAGGGGCUUCCUUACAGCGACCUGUCUCAAAGGUAGGUUUCGCUUAUGGGUUGCUCAUAUCAUCUUCCGGAUCGUACUCCUCUGCCCUUAAUUGGGUGGGGGAGUGGUUCUGGAUCGUUUACUUUGAAAAAAUUAGGGUGUUUAAAGCAGGCUACUAUUAUGCCUUGAAUAGAUUAGCAUGGGAUAAUGGAACACGACUCAGUUGCAGUUUUGUUGGGCUUGGGCGACUGGGUAAUGAUCAAUAGAAACGAUCGGGGUUAUUCAUAUUUAAUUGUCAGAGGUGAAAUUCUUAGAUUCUUUAAAGAUGAACCUAUGCGAAAGCAUCUAACAAGGGCGCUUUCAUUGAUCAAGAACGAAAGUUAGGGGAUCGAAGACGAUCAGAUACCGUCGUAGUCUUAACUAUAAACGUUGCGGACCAAGGAUCGGAGAGGUAUUUUUGUACUACCCCCCCAGCACUUUGAGAGUAAUCAUUGAGUUUUUGCGCUCCGGGGGGAGUAUGGUCGCAAGGCUGAAACUUAAAGGAAUUGACGGAAGGGCACCACCAGGAGUGGAGCCUGCGGCUUAAUUUGACCCAACACGGGAAAACUCACUAGGUCAGGACAUAGCUAGGAUUGACAGAUUGAUAGUUCUUUCUUAAUUUCUAUGGGUGGUGGUGCGUGGCCGUUCUUAGUUGGUGGAGUGAUUUGUCUGGUUAAUUCCGAUAACGAACGAGACCGCAACUUAUUAAAUAGCGGGGUUAAUUGUCUAAUUAGUGAAAGGGUAGGGGUCUGCAGGCCCUCUAACGGGGGUUUCUGUGGUCCCUGCUUGGGAUCUUUGACAUUUUGGCUACUAUAUGCUUCUUAAAGGGACUAUUUGUGUUUAACAAAUGGAAGUGCGGCAAUAACAGGUCUGUGAUGCCCUUAGAUGUCCUAGGCUGCACGCGCGCUACACUGGCAGAUUCAAAGAGUUUGAAAUCGCCUGCCUCGAAGGGGCUGGGUAAUCUGAAAACUUUUGUCGUGACAGGGAUCGAUUAUUGCAAUUAUUAGUCGUCAACGAGGAAUUCCUAGUAAUCGCAAGUCAUCAGCUUGCGAUGAUUACGUCCCUGCCCUUUGUACACACCGCCCGUCGCUCCUACCGAUUGAAUGGUCCGGUGAAAUGUUUGGAUGCUAGGGACCACAUCGGAGCAAUUCGGUGUACUCUGGGAGAAGAUCAGUAAAUCUUAUCAU